ACUUAUCUUUAGAGACACAUUUAUAUCAGAAAAUUUAACUUGAUGAUUAAAAAAAUUGGUGAAAUACGUGUAGACUUUUGUAACUGGAUUAUAGUUUCAUCUAAGAACUCACUAAAAAUAUAUUGAACUUCAGGAAGAGAUUUUUAAAUGGCUUUGGUAAGCCAUUUAAAAGCCUUAUUUUCCCAAACGAAUUAGUGUUGGUGUGUGGAUGAGGAACUUUGCUGUUAUUCUGUGAGCAUUACCUGAUAAGAACUAAUCAGAUGACAGAUGGAAUCUGAAGCUUGUUCUGAUGAAUUUUUGAGGCUGGAAUGCAAUGGCGUGAUUAUAGCUCAAUGCAUCUUCAUCUCCCUGGGCUCAAGCAAUCUUCCAAGCUCAGCCUCCCAAGUAGCUGGAACUACAGAAGGACCAACUCCACUUUGAACUAGGUCCUGUUGAAAAGGCUGUUCAUAAACCUUACCAGCCAGUAGCUCCUGUCCUUUCUUGAUGGAUGCAGAAGAUGAAACAUCCUGGCUAGAAAACAAAAUGGCCAUGAUUUUGAAGAGAUGAAGUUUCAGGACAACUCUGCACUCUGAAACAUUCUGAAACAGAAAUGGAAGGUGUGUGUGCUGCAUCAGAGCAAUGAGCUAGAGCAACAUUAGAGAAUUAGCAACAUAGAGAAGUGAGGUGAGGUGUAAAGGAAGGACAGUCAUCUUUGAUCAGCUGUUCUUGGCCCAAACCUGCCAUAUCCUAACCUCUGGUUUUCAUAAAUGUGUGAAGUUUGAAGGCAUUUUGGCAAAAAUCUCAACUCCCGUAAUCACAUGAAAUGCUGUUUCUUCUCCAAGGGCAGGAAAUUCAAAGGCUACAUAUGUAGGGUUGCCCAGUGGGAAUCUGAGACUCUAGAAACUACAUCCUGCUUUUGCAUAUAUCAAGAUUAUUUUGGUGCCAAAAAGUAGGUAUUAAAUAAUAAAUUGAGUUAAUUGUAAGUAAAACAAAGUUAAUUUUGGUGUUUGGCAUGACCAUUGAACCA
This 1006-nucleotide long non-coding RNA is filed under the name Homo sapiens (human). Its description in RNAcentral is "non-protein coding lnc-LRRTM4-3:1". Lineage: Eukaryota; Metazoa; Chordata; Mammalia; Primates; Hominidae. The record is from RNAcentral.